This 253-nucleotide ribosomal RNA is filed under the name uncultured bacterium. RNAcentral describes it as "partial 16S ribosomal RNA". It matches the Rfam family "Bacterial small subunit ribosomal RNA", at positions 524 to 776 of the family's 1533-position model. The record is from RNAcentral.
UACGUAGGGUGCGAGCGUUAAUCGGAAUUACUGGGCGUAAAGCGUGCGCAGGCGGCUUUGCAAGUCAGAUGUGAAAUCCCCGGGCUCAACCUGGGAACUGCAUUUGUGACUGCAAGGCUAGAGUACGGUAGAGGGGGAUGGAAUUCCGCGUGUAGCAGUGAAAUGCGUAGAUAUGCGGAGGAACACCGAUGGCGAAGGCAGUCCCCUGGACCAGUACUGACGCUCAUGCGCGAAAGCGUGGGGAGCAAACAGG